RNAcentral lists this long non-coding RNA (788 nucleotides) under Erythranthe guttata (spotted monkey flower). RNAcentral's name for it is "long non-coding RNA (EGUT_LNC000382)". Lineage: Eukaryota; Viridiplantae; Streptophyta; Magnoliopsida; Lamiales; Phrymaceae. The record is from RNAcentral.
UGGAAUUUGAGUUUCCCAAUGCAAAAAAAAAAAAGGAAGAAAAAAAGUACCUGUUUCACAUCCGCAUUGCAAAGGAGAACAAAUCAGAUUCUUCUCGCAAAAUACCCAAAGGAUUUGCCAUUUUUCCUCUGCAUUUCUUUGUCUGUAUUUUGCAAUUGCUUCCCCAAAAGCGAGAUCCUCCUUUUUCCUGCUUCUAUAUAUAUAUUCUCACAAACCUCUGCAAUCAAAUCAAAUUCGCUCUCUCUCUCUCUCUCUCUCUCUCUCUCUCUCUCUCUCUCUCUCUCACACACACACACACACACACACACACACUUUCUCUCUCUAGAAAUGGGGAUGGUAGGAAGUAUAGGGCGGUGGAUAGAGAAGUUUGGGAAGAAACAGUGCAGGAGCUUAUACUGGAGAAUAAGAGCAGCAACGAAGAAGAAGAGCAAAGGAAGCAAACGGCGCGUCAAGAUAUUCCAGUACGAUGCGUACAGCUACGCGCUCAAUUUUGACGAUGGAUUGGGUAUUCACGAACAAGUGGGACCCACUGAUGCGGAUUACCGCCAUCAUCGUCGCCAACCUAAAUUUCCAGAAUUCACCAUUUGGGUUUGUGUUGUUUUGCCCAAAUGAUAGCAAUUAUCAGCCUAAUUUCCUAUUUAUCAGUAAUAUUUAGUUAUUUACUACUACUGUACGCUGUCGUUUUGUUUAUUUUCAAGAGUUUAUUUGCACAUGUUCGAAAAUAUCAAUUUUAAUUAAAAGAUGCUGCAGAAAUACUUUUGAAAUUACAACUUUCUUUUAAUUACGAA